Apis cerana (Asiatic honeybee) is the source of this 663-nucleotide long non-coding RNA. RefSeq lists it as uncharacterized. The record is from RefSeq and is a predicted model, not a curated record. NCBI's taxonomy places the organism in Eukaryota, Metazoa, Arthropoda, Insecta, Hymenoptera, Apidae.
AGUUUUUGCGAUGCUUUGGACUUGAUGGAAUCGAAAGCCACGAGACCCGCCGCAGCGAAUCCGGACAUUUUCCAAUUAUUGGGGUUGCUCUCUGGCUGCAAAUGGUCGCGUUGACAAUUGGCAGCCCCUAAAGUACACGAGGAUACAUAAAUCUCAUGCGUAAAUUUCAUUUUUAACAGAAAUAUUCAAUAAAGGGAUAUGCAAUAAAAAUUUUAUAAUUGAUAUUCAAGAAGGAAAAUUCUGGCAGAAUGGCAGUCGACUUGGUGGAUAUUCGAAAAAUUGUUGUCAGAUUAUCGACUCGAUCGCAAAGAGACGUAUCGCGGGACAAUGGCUGACGGAUAUUAAAACGGCACGUGACAGACAAAAGGCAGAAAAUGUACAGCACGUGUACACAACGAGCUAGGGUGGAACGAGGAAGAUGGAAACGACCGAUUUCGCUUAAUGGACUCGUUGCACAUCCUUACUAGUUUUUCCACGAAUUCUUAAUAACAGGUGUAAUCUGAAACAUAUCUUAUCGAUCUCGUGAAAGUAAUUUGAAUAUAGAGUUUUCGUUAAUGAUUAUUGAUUUUAAAAUUGAUUUAGAUUUGAAUCUGAAUUACUCGAAUUGCAGCGUAUAUAUUUUAAACACUUUAUAUAUUUAUUAUAUGUAUUUAUGAAACUUGA